This 77-nucleotide transfer RNA is filed under the name SAR324 cluster bacterium. RNAcentral's name for it is "tRNA-Arg". It matches the Rfam family "tRNA". From Rfam's summary of the family: Transfer RNA (tRNA) molecules are approximately 80 nucleotides in length. Their secondary structure includes four short double-helical elements and three loops (D, anti-codon, and T loops). Further hydrogen bonds mediate the characteristic L-shaped molecular structure. tRNAs have two regions of fundamental functional importance: the anti-codon, which is responsible for specific mRNA codon recognition, and the 3' end, to which the tRNAs corresponding amino acid is attached (by aminoacyl-tRNA synthetases). tRNAs cope with the degeneracy of the genetic code in two manners: having more than one tRNA (with a specific anti-codon) for a particular amino acid; and 'wobble' base-pairing, i.e. permitting non-standard base-pairing at the 3rd anti-codon position. The record is from RNAcentral. Lineage: Bacteria; Deltaproteobacteria. RNAcentral also lists the same sequence under 2 other names.
GCGCCUGUAGCUCAGUUGGAUAGAGCACAGGGUUUCGAUCCCUGGUGUCGGAGGUUCGAAUCCUUCCAGGCGCGCCA